CCUUUCACCUGAAGUUUGACGAGGCCCGGAUGGACCCAAACGUGCAGAAGUGGGACGUGACUGUGCUGGAGUUGAGCCACCACAAACGACAUCUGGACCGGCCCGUCUUCCUCCGCUUCUGGGAAACACUAGACAGAUACAUGGUCAAACACAAGUCCCAUCUGCGGUUCUGAGAGCGCUGGCCGUCCACCUUCGAGAUCUUCCCUCCCUAACAGACCUGUCAAGAUGGACUGCUACACCCCUGAUCCUCUCAGCCUCGCUGAAAGCACUUUGGAUUUCAGUAUGCUUCACCCUCUGCUGACACCAGUUUGAUUUGUAGCCUCUUCCUCCACCUGUAGAUGAACAGGUCAAGGCAGGCAAGAGGAAAUGUGGAUGUUUGGGUUGGUCCUUGUUGAGUUUUCUCAGUACAUAUGCAUUUUUCUAAUUUUAACGCAGUUGGUAAUCAAGGCAGAUUUUCUUUCCUCUCUUUAUUUGUAAAACACAAGCUGGAGAGAACCAUUGAAAAUGGUAACUCAUUGGUAUGAAUACAUGACUGCUGUCUAAAACUCUUUAAUGAUAGAUUCACUUUGUUCCCUUUUUUGUUUUUUUUCUGCCUUCUGAUCUAUGAAGCAUAGAGUAGUACAUUAAGGUUCACUACACAAAUGCGAGUAGUAAAUCCAAGUCAGAU
Molecule: long non-coding RNA, 667 nt
Organism: Carassius auratus (goldfish)
Lineage: Eukaryota; Metazoa; Chordata; Actinopteri; Cypriniformes; Cyprinidae
Exons: 2
Source: RefSeq, a predicted model, not a curated record